Canis lupus familiaris (dog) is the source of this 266-nucleotide long non-coding RNA. RefSeq lists it as uncharacterized. NCBI's taxonomy places the organism in Eukaryota, Metazoa, Chordata, Mammalia, Carnivora, Canidae. The transcript is spliced from 3 exons. The record is from RefSeq and is a predicted model, not a curated record.
GGGAUGGUCAGAAAGACGUAGUUGUCCAGUUAAAUUGUUGGCAUUAGAUCACAAACCUCAACUCACCUCUCAGCAUUUGACAAAAAUCAGGCAGCCUAGAUAUUUUUCAUGGUCCUGGAUUAUAUAUAAAAACAUCAUGGAUUCUCUCCUUGGUGCUUUGCCAUGUUUUGGUUCCAAAACAAUAAGAACAAUAGCUGUAUGCAGAGAACAGUCCAGAAAUGUUGGAGAGGAAGGGGUGUGUUGGCAGGUAAGAACUCUUAAAGAAU